UAACAAGGAUUCCCCUAGUAACGGCGAGUGAAGAGGGAAAAGCUCAAAGUUGGAACCUGUUUGGCUUAGCUAAACCGGAUUGUAAACUAAAGAGCCGUUUUCCAGACGAGCUAAGCAAAAAAGUCCCUUGGAACAGGGCAUCAUAGAGGGUGAGAAUCCCGUCUUUGGCUUAAGCGAUUUCGUCUUUAUGUGAUACGGCUUCAAAGAGUCAGGUUGUUUGGGAAUGCAGCCUAAAGUGGGUGGUAAAUCUCAUCUAAAGCUAAAUAUUGGCGAGAGACCGAUAGCGAACAAGUACCGUGAGGGAAAGAUGAAAAGAACUUUGAAAAGAGAGUUAAACAGUAUGUGAAAUUGCUGAAAGGGAACCGUUUGAGGUUAGACUAGCUGGUCAGUAAUCAAUCUUGGUUUCGACCAUGAUGCACUUGCUGGCCUUUGGCUAGCCAACGACAGUUUUUUCUGUAGGAAAAAAUGUGCAGGAAUGUGGCUCUUCGGAGUGUUAUAGCCUGCUAUAGAAUACUACGGAAGAGACUGAGGCUCGCAGCGAACGCUAUUAUGGCGAGGAUCAGGUUAACUUUGUGAUAAUGUGUGCUACUACUCAGCUUGCUGCGGUAAUGCAUGUUGUUGUUUGGUAUUGGCUUGUUUACCUUUAGUUCGCUUGGGUCGUUGGCUUAAUGACCUUAAAUGA
RNAcentral lists this ribosomal RNA (682 nucleotides) under Phycomyces blakesleeanus. Its description in RNAcentral is "eukaryotic LSU rRNA". It matches the Rfam family "Eukaryotic large subunit ribosomal RNA", at positions 66 to 647 of the family's 3401-position model. Lineage: Eukaryota; Fungi; Mucoromycota; Mucoromycetes; Mucorales; Phycomycetaceae. The record is from RNAcentral.